RNAcentral lists this ribosomal RNA (464 nucleotides) under uncultured bacterium. Its description in RNAcentral is "SSU rRNA". It matches the Rfam family "Bacterial small subunit ribosomal RNA", at positions 26 to 518 of the family's 1533-position model. The record is from RNAcentral.
AGGACGAACGCUGGCGGCGUGCUUAACACAUGCAAGUCGAACGAGGCGCUUGCGCCUAGUGGCGAACGGGUGAGUAACACGUGAGCAACCUGCCCUUGGCUCUGGGAUAGCCUCCGGAAACGGGGAUUAAUACCGGACAUGACCUUCUCCUGCAUGGGGGAGGGUGGAAAGUUUUUCGGCCAGGGAGGGGCUCGCGGCCUAUCAGCUUGUUGGGGGGGUAACGGCCCACCAAGGCGACGACGGGUAGCCGGCCUGAGAGGGCGACCGGCCACACUGGGACUGAGACACGGCCCAGACUCCUACGGGAGGCAGCAGUGGGGAAUAUUGCACAAUGGGGGAAACCCUGAUGCAGCGACGCCGCGUGCGGGAUGAAGGCCUUCGGGUUGUAAACCGCUUUCAGCAGGGGCGAAGUUCGAGACGGUACCUGCAGAAGAAGCGCCGGCUAACUACGUGCCAGCAGCCGC